UUGUAUGGCCAAGAAGAGCAAGUCCCACA
This 29-nucleotide non-coding RNA is filed under the name Homo sapiens (human). Lineage: Eukaryota; Metazoa; Chordata; Mammalia; Primates; Hominidae. The record is from RNAcentral.